GCAGGCAAUGAUUUCUCAAUACAAUUUCUAUUGCGCCAAUCACAAUAUUCACUGUUACGUAACGAUGUCCAUAUUUGGUAACUUAUGAGCUUUCCUGUGGCUCAAUUGGAGCAUUGGAACACACUUGACUGAGAUCUGUGUCAAAGUUUACUUUCAGAAUUGCUCUCCAGUCUCAAUGCACCUGUCACAGUAAACAACCCAAAGUGAUUACCAAUGAAUAGUAGCUGGGAUAUUAAAAAUGUCACUACGAUUCUGCUCAUUAUUUUGCAUUGUAAAGGUGCAAACGCCCAGUCUACAAAGAAGAUUGCCAUCUUAGCUGGCACGGAUGUUACCUUAAACUGCUCUUUCAAGAAGCCUGAACAUGUACCGCUGAAGAAAAUCACGGUUGAGUGGGGGAUGAUGGUGGAUAAAGAGACCAUAAAGCACCUAGUGUAUACGUUCCAGAACGAGAGUGCCAAGGUGCAUCGUGAAGGGUCUCGAGUCGACCAAACGGGGUUGCUUCAGGGCAAUGCAUCCCUUCGUUUGUUCAACAUGACCGUGGCUGAUGAGGGACUCUACCGCUGCAGAGUGAUCAUCACUCCCAACACAUACAAAGUUUCCUCACAGCUGGAAGUAUCAGCCAGACCCUCAGUGUCCCUCCCAGAGACCGCCAUGGUGAUGGAGGGGGAGGAACGGACAUUGAUGUGUGACAUCACAGGAUUCUACCCAGAGAAUCUGGCCGUGACCUGGCUGAUCCAAAAUGGCUCCCGGGUGGCCCGCGAGAGCAUGGCUCGCGGGGCCAUCUCGCGUGAUGUGUGCACUGGAAUGGCUGUGCCCAAUCCAGACGGCACCUACAGUGUCAGCAGUCACAUCACUGUCCAGGCUUCAGCCGUAGGGAGCGGAGGAGCCAUGUACAUCUGUCACAUUGAACAUAGGUCCUACCCUGAUGGAAAAUACAGCAAAAGCAUAUUGUUGACUGUGCAAGUUCAUCCCAUUAUCUCUGACAUCAUCAAACCCACCAUCGUUUAUGCCAUGAAGCCGACCAACUUAAAAUGCACCAUUGAAAGAGUACGACUGAGAGAGUUCAAAGUGAAAUGGUACAAGAUAACAGCCAAUAGCGACUGUAACGCAGCUUCCAAUAGCCAAUCAAAGUCACUGUUGAGCCACAAGGACCUGAGAGACCAGGCUAACAUCCACUCUGAGAGCACGCAUCACGUGUCCACCCUGCCCAUCUGUCUGUCAGUUAAGGAGGACCAGGCUACGUACCAGUGUGUUGUGCUGUACAGAGGCAGGAUGAUCACCAAAGAGACCACUGUGAGUGUAAAAGUGACUCCAUCGUUCUUUCACAUCUCCAGCAUGCCUCAGAUCCCAGAGGUGAAGAGGUUGCUGGUGCUCUGCUGUCGGGUCGAGAGGUUCUACCCGGACAACCUCCGUCUCGAGUGGUCGAGAAAUGACGGGGAGCAGGUGAGGACAGCCACUAACUAUGGACCGUUCUCUGACCACGAGCGGAUGUACAGCAUGUGGAGUAAGAUCGAACUGACAAUUGCUCAGGAAGACGAGAAGGCGGUCUACACAUGCCGCUUGUAUCACUCCAGUUUCGCCGGGCCAGGAUACAAAGACGUUCUUUAUCAUAUUAACACACAAGGUACUCCUCCAAGCGUGAUGUUCAUCAAGUGUGAGCCACAACUCCCUCUGCUGGAUAAGGAGUGCACGCUCAACCUCUGUGUCAAAGACUUCUGUCCUGAACAAGUGUCUGUCACAUGGUUUAAGGACGGACAGACGGUCCCCGACAGCCAGUUCUUCAACUCCCCACCCAGCCUCAACAUCAAUGGCCUCUACUCUAUGUGGAGCUUCCUCAAACUGAGCAACACCUCGGAGGACUACGGCUCAGAGUUCAGGUGCCGGGUGGUCCACAGUGCCCAGAAGGAACCGGAGGAGAGGGUGUUCACACAUCAGAUCUCAAAGUCACCUAGUCAAGGGAAGUCAGACCUUUGAUCAAAUACUGUGUUUGCACUUUUGGGACUUUUCUAAUGGUUCCAUUACAAUAGGAAAGCUCAAUAAAGGACGGCUCAAGUAUUUGAAAUGAUUUCAAGUAGUAUUUGAACCCAGGUCUGGGAUGUAUAUAAGGAUAUUACCGCUAAAGUAUAUAGUAUACCUAAGAUUAUUUUUGUAAAUGAAUUUGAUGCAUUUACACCUGUUUUGUUAAUUCUGUUCACUUUAUCUUCUGAUAGAUUGUAAAUAUUGAACUGAAAAAGGUGCUUGCUCUGAACUGUCAUAGCAUACUAGAUAUGCUCAUGAGAUGUGGGGCCUAAACUAGGAAAAGUGUCAGUACUACACCUUUUAUAUUGAGGUAAGUUAAUCUAACAAACACAGGUUCGUAACCCUAUAUACUUACAUCCUGCAUACGGUAUGAAAAUGGCAGAUUGAUCACUAUAAACACUUCAAUUGGGGCGGCAGGUAGCUUAGUGGUUAGAGCAUUGGGUCAGUAACCAAAAGGGUGUUAAUCGAAUCACCGAGCUGACAAGGUAAAAAAAAAUCUGUCGUUCUGCCCCUGAACAAGGCAGUUAAACCCACUGUUCCUAGGCCGUCAUUGUAAAUAAGAAUUUGUUCUUAACUGACUUGCCUAGUUAAAUAAAGGUUAAAUAUUAUUAUUAUGAUUUUAAUAAUAAUACAAAUAUUAAUAAAUAUUUCUAAUAUAUUUUUUAAUAGUAACAUACUUUAAGUCAGAGUUCUGGGUCUUCAGUUUAUGUAUUAGGGACAGACAAAUUAAAUCAUCAAUCAGUACCUAGAUGGGUUUUAAAAUGGUAAAAAAAAGACAAGAAAACAAGAACUAAAUCAAAACAAACUGCCAAAGCAGCAGAUAUUCUUCCUGGGGUCCAGCAAAAUUAAUGCAGUUUAUACAAUUUUAAAAACUUUACAAUACAUUCAUAAUUUUCACAACACACUGUGCCCUCAGGCUCCUUCACCACAUAUCUACAAUACUGUAUAGUGUGUAUGUUAUUGUAUGUGUUUGUGCCAAUGUUUGUGUUGCUUCACAGACCCAGCUGUUCCAUAAGGUGUUUUUAAAAAAUCUAAUUUUACUGCAUUACAGUUACUUGAUGUGGAAUAGAGUUCCAUGUAGUCAUGGCUCUAAAAGUCUGUCCUGGACUUGGGGACUGUGAAGAGAACUCUUGUGGCAUGUCUUGUGGGGUAUGCAUGGGUGUCCGAGAUGUGUGCCAGUAGUUUAGACAGACAGCUCAGUGAAGUGGUUAUUUCCUUAAUUUACUUAAACAGUUUUUUCACUUUCUGUGUGUAACAUUAAUACCCACAGACAUGACUGCUCAAGGCAAGGGUUGCAAAACGACCAGUAAUUUAUUUAAUUAAAACAGGUAAUUUAUACUUGAAUGACUUAAAAAAAAAAUAUAUUAAUUUAAAAUUUGUCUUAAUCGGGCCUCCCCGGUGGCGCAGUGGUCUAGUGCGCCACCCGGCUGUGCCAUUAGAGACUCUGGGUUUGAGCCGCGCUGUGACCGAGAGGUCCAUGGGGCGACACACAAUUGGCCGAGCGUUGUCCGGUUUAGGGAGAGUUUGACCGGUAUCCUUGUCUCAUCGCGCACUAGCGACUCCUGUGGCGGGCCGGGCGCAGGGCACGCUGACCAGGUCGCUAGGUGUACGGUGUUUCUUCCGACACAUUGGUGCGGCUGGCUUCCGGGUGUUAAGAAGCAGUGCGGCUUGGUUGGGUUGUGUUUCGGGGGACGCAUUGUGACGGCCCUGUAUUUUUCUGAACCGUCUCAGUGCAGCUCCUUCCAAUAGGGCGCUUUCCCUUUAAUUCCCAAUUAAAUAGCCAGCAUCAGCUGCGCAAAAGUGGGGUUGUGAUAGAGACGUGAAUGAGGAUGUGGUCAACCCUCAGUUCUCGACGCUUCGCUAUUCCGUUAAACGUGUGUUUUGUAGCCUAAUAGAGUUUACCCAGGAUCGGAUCCACUCUUUGCGUCUCCGUUCUUCGUGGCCUUUCUCCGCUGGAGAUCUAUUGGUGGAUUGGAUUGUCUGACUGACCGACUACCUUUUAUUAUACGGUAUUUCAUUUGUUUUGAUGUCAUGUAUACGGUGAUGAUUUAUGUAGUUAGUUGUAGUUGAGGACUUAGUAAGAGUUGAUACGCUUUAAAGUUCUGUGGUAAAAUAAUUGUUAUAUUGAUUGUAUGAUUAAUACUGGGUUUACGCUCCACUUGAAUGAACGGACAAACAUUGCGUGACUAAGGUCACCGGAGUUCCCUGAACUCUUUUACCGGGCUGGACUCUUUUUAAGCCUGAGGUACAGGACAUUUCGAGAAGAACCAGAACUCAUUGUGAUAUAAUAUAUGUGUGUGUAAUCAUUGAUGUUGCUAAUACAACCCACGCUUUUGAAGUUCUUUCCAAUGUUUUAAGGGUUUAUGAAAAGUUUAUUUCCAUCCUGACUUUUGCACAAGUCCUUUUGUAUUGGUGUAGACUUGACGGACCAGAUGGGACUCAUUCCCUCCCAAACUAAAAGGAGAAACCAAUGUUUUCUCUGGUAGGCACAACCUACCUGGCACCCCUAUAAAUAAUAACCUCAAGUCAAAACCGUUACAGCAUGACUCUCGACCUUGGCUCUCCCGAGCCCAUACGGGAGUUGUAGCGAUGAGACAAGACAGUAACUACUAACAAUUGGAUACCACGAAAAAGGGGGUUCAAAAAUACAUUUAAAAAUUGUCUUAAUCUUUACAUGUUGUCCAUGAGUUUGUAGUGGAUAGACCAUAUGGUUCAAGGGAAAAUACCCUACCUAAUGAAAAUCCCGAAACCCUGAUAAUGUGUUACAGCGUUGUAAUUCUAUUUUUUAUUUUUAUAUUAACUUCUUUUUUAUAUAUUUUACAUGGACCUAAAAUCCUUGAAAGUUUAGACAUUUCUGGAUGUACAGUUGCCAGAAAAUGAGUCUUUCCAAUUGAUUCUAACACACUGAAUUCUGUCAGAUAAAUAUGAAUCCAUUCAUGUUAAGGCAUUGGGAGAGAAAUUAAACUUUGAAUGUUUUGAAAGUAGAACACUGAUUUACAGUAUAAAAUACUUGUUGCAAAUCUAAAAACACAGGUCCUACCACUCCCCUUUUGUUAAGUUAAUAUUUUAUCUUAAAAAUAAUAUAAAAUAUCUUGCACAGUUGCCCCUAUCAGCUGGAUUUUGUAGUGGCUUUUUCCCAGUAAGAAAACCAAAUGUCACUCAAACAGAAGGAGGAACUACCAAAAAGUCACCGACCACAACCAAAAUGAAACAAGUGGGAUUUUAGCAGUGGUGUUACGUACCUAAGUAAAAAUACUUUAAAGUACUACUGGGUUGUUUAAUAUAAGGAAUUUUAAAUUAUUUGUACUUUUACUUUUGAUACUGAAGUAUAUUUAAAACCAAAUAUUUUUAGACUUUUACUGAAGUAGUAUUUUACUGAGUGACUUUCACUUGAGUCAUUUUCUAUUAAGGUAUCUUUACUUUUACUUAAGUAUGACCAUUGGGUACUUUUCCACCACUAUUUUAGGAGGGGUUCUGAAAGACUCAUGGGGGUGUCCACUGAAAGUUGACUAGCAACAACAACUGGAACCUAAGACACCCACCAUGAGCACCCACUAAAUUUGCAGAAGAGGCAAUUGUUACGGAUACAGGUAUCCUGUGUGUGUGUGUAUCCUGUGUUUGCUCUCCAUCUCCCCUCACAGGUGAAAAUCAUCACUCCCCAAUCAGUCACCAAUCAAUCAUCAAUCAGAAGACACACCUCCUCCUGUUUUCCUACCCCAUCACAGUUCCUUUCCCUUGGUUUAAAAACCCUGUCAGUUGUUUGUUCUAGAGCUCAAUCUCUCUCUGUAAAUGCCAUGUCUGUAGGUCUCUGUUUCACUCUCUCGUUGUGUAUUAACCUCUCUUUUGUUUGAGCACCUCCAUCGCACUUUGUCAUCACCUGUGAGUAUUGUUUUGGUUAUGGUGUUUGUUUGAUUUCUGGUGGGAAAAGGGGAAACCAAGACAAGUUGCCCAUGGGCAUACACUACCCGUAGGUAGACUUUGUUAAAUACACUAGUUAGAACUGGGCGGACCACCCACUUUAUUUUUGGUUAGUUAGUUAGCUGUUGUUAAAGUAGUCUAGCUUAGGUUUUUUUGAAUACUUAUUGUUUCUUUCCUUGGGUCCAGCUCAGCCCCUUUUCCUGCUCCCCCCAUUACCGUGUGUUUUCAAAUAAACCCAGAGUUUGACGGUA
Molecule: non-coding RNA, 6188 nt
Organism: Oncorhynchus masou masou (cherry salmon)
Lineage: Eukaryota; Metazoa; Chordata; Actinopteri; Salmoniformes; Salmonidae
Source: the annotation of a RefSeq genome assembly